RNAcentral lists this ribosomal RNA (420 nucleotides) under uncultured bacterium. RNAcentral's name for it is "bacterial SSU rRNA". It matches the Rfam family "Bacterial small subunit ribosomal RNA", at positions 359 to 776 of the family's 1533-position model. The record is from RNAcentral.
GAAUAUUGGACAAUGGGCGCAAGCCUGAUCCAGCCAUGCCGCGUGCAGGAAGAAUGCCCUAUGGGUUGUAAACUGCUUUUAUUUGGGAAUAAACCUCCUUACGUGUAGGGAGCUGAAUGUACCAAACGAAUAAGCACCGGCUAACUCCGUGCCAGCAGCCGCGGUAAUACGGAGGGUGCAAGCGUUAUCCGGAAUCAUUGGGUUUAAAGGGUCCGCAGGCGGACUUAUAAGUCAGUGGUGAAAGCCUACAGCUUAACUGUAGAACUGCCAUUGAUACUGUAAGUCUUGAAUUCGGUCGAAGUGGGCGGAAUAUGUCAUGUAGCGGUGAAAUGCUUAGAUAUGACAUAGAACACCGAUAGCGAAGGCAGCUCACUAGGCCUGGAUUGACGCUCAGGGACGAAAGCGUGGGGAGCGAACAGG